GCCCGCAUGGCUCAGGGGUAGAGCGCAUCACUAGUAGUACUAGGCUAUAUUCACAGUCUGCUAGACUGUUGGGUCUAGCUUGGUAGACAUGAUGAGGUCAUCAGUUCGAUUCUGAUUGUGGGCA
Molecule: non-coding RNA, 124 nt
Organism: Rhypophila decipiens
Lineage: Eukaryota; Fungi; Ascomycota; Sordariomycetes; Sordariales; Naviculisporaceae
Source: the annotation of a GenBank genome assembly